This is a long non-coding RNA of Triticum dicoccoides, 697 nucleotides long. RefSeq lists it as uncharacterized. The transcript is spliced from 3 exons. The record is from RefSeq and is a predicted model, not a curated record. NCBI's taxonomy places the organism in Eukaryota, Viridiplantae, Streptophyta, Magnoliopsida, Poales, Poaceae.
GAGGGAGGAGCCGGCGCGAGGACGUGGGAGACGGCGGCGCAGGCGUGAGGACCUUGGCCAUGACGUCGACGCCAGGACCUGCAGGCGAAGACGCCGACGCGAGAUCCAGGAGGCGAAGCCCCGGCUGGUCUUGGUCGUAGUGGCCGCUCCCCCACAUACGUCCCCGCCGAUGCCGCGUGAGGUUCUGGAGGGGACGCCGCCGCCGCGAGGUAUUGGAGAUCCCGGCUGUACUUGGUCGUAGAACAGAGGACUUUCGUGUAGGAGAAAGCGAGAUGUUCAUAGUCCACGGUUGUCGUCUGAGUUUGUAUAUUCCCUAUGGUAGCAAAAAUAACGUCAAUUAUUAAGGCAGCCACCGGUUCAAACAGUGAGCAUCAGGUUUAUUGUCUGUCUUGGGUGUUCAUUGUAGCAAUAGUGUGAGUACUGGACAGCCUUCUGCCACCAUCGUUUACCUCCGACUCGCCAGCCAAUCACCAUCGUCUACCUCGUGCCUCGCCGGACAGCGCAGUCGUCAAACUCUGUCUCACCGGGCAGGCACUGCCGUCUACCUCUGCUUUGUAGUUAAUUGUGUGCUAGCAAUUCCUCCGGAAAACUUGUUAGGUUAUUCUAACUCUGCCAUGUAUCCAUGAUCUUGUUUUCUGAAUAUGUAAUUUUCUUUAGUGGUUUCAUUUUCAUUUUAUUUAUCAUAGCACUCCCAUGA